GAUGAAGAACGCAGCGAAAUGCGAUACUUGGUGUGAAUUGCAGAAUCCCGUGAACCAUCGAGUCUUUGAACGCAAGUUGCGCCCGAAGCCAUUAGGCCGAGGGCACGCCUGCCUGGGCGUCACACGUCGUUGCCCCCCCCAUCUACUCCUUCGGGAUUGCGGGGGGCGGAUGAUGGCCUCCCGUGCGCCUCGCCGCGCGGUUGGCAUAAAUGCCAAGUCCUCGGCGACGCACGCCACGACAAUCGGUGGUUGCGAAACCUCGGUUGCCCGUCGUGUGCGGUCGUCGCGCAUCGAGGGCUCGAAAAAAUUGCCGAGUUCCGGCUCGGCUUUCAACGCGACCCCAGGUCAGGCGGGGUUACCCGCUGAAUUUAAGCAUAUCAAUAACGGAGGA
RNAcentral lists this unclassified non-coding RNA (391 nucleotides) under soil metagenome. RNAcentral's name for it is "partial contains 5.8S ribosomal RNA, internal transcribed spacer 2, and large subunit ribosomal RNA". The stretch from base 1 to 122 matches the Rfam family "5.8S ribosomal RNA", at positions 35 to 154 of the family's 154-position model. The record is from RNAcentral.